UCCGGUUUGGCACCGGCAGUCCUCCCAGAGUCCUCGGCUCUACCCGGUAGCAACUGGGAGCGGGGGUUGCGCUCGUUGCGGGACUUAACCCAACAUCUCACGACACGAGCUGACGACAGCCAUGCAGCACCUGUCUUGGAGCUCCGAAGAGCGCUCCUCGUUUCUGAGGAGCUUCCCCAAGAUGUCAAGCCCAGGUAAGGUUCUUCGCGUUGCGUCGAAUUAAACCACAUGCUCCACCGCUUGUGCGGGCCCCCGUCAAUUCCUUUGAGUUUCAGCCUUGCGGCCGUACUCCCCAGGCGGGGCACUUAAUGCGUUAGCGCCGGCACCCAGGGGGUCGCUCCCCCAGGCACCUAGUGCCCAUCGUUUACGGCGUGGACUAC
This 380-nucleotide unclassified non-coding RNA is filed under the name uncultured Gemmatimonadaceae bacterium. RNAcentral describes it as "contains 16S-23S intergenic spacer region". Lineage: Bacteria; Pseudomonadati; Gemmatimonadota; Gemmatimonadia; Gemmatimonadales; Gemmatimonadaceae. The record is from RNAcentral.